GCCUUCGUGGUGUAGUGGUCAGCACGCUCGACGCGUAACCGAGAGAUCCGUGGUUCGAUUCCCGGCGAAGGAG
This 73-nucleotide transfer RNA is filed under the name Stegodyphus mimosarum. It matches the Rfam family "tRNA". From Rfam's summary of the family: Transfer RNA (tRNA) molecules are approximately 80 nucleotides in length. Their secondary structure includes four short double-helical elements and three loops (D, anti-codon, and T loops). The record is from Rfam by way of RNAcentral. Lineage: Eukaryota; Metazoa; Arthropoda; Arachnida; Araneae; Eresidae.